RNAcentral lists this ribosomal RNA (822 nucleotides) under uncultured bacterium. Its description in RNAcentral is "bacterial SSU rRNA". It matches the Rfam family "Bacterial small subunit ribosomal RNA", at positions 671 to 1504 of the family's 1533-position model. The record is from RNAcentral.
AUGUGUAGCGGUAAAAUGCGUAAAUAUAUGGAGGAACACCAGUAGCGAAGGCGGCUUGCUGGGCUGUAACUGACGCUGAGGCACGAAAGCGUGGGGAGCAAACAGGAUUAGAUACCCUGGUAGUCCACGCCGUAAACGAUGAGUACUAAGUGUUGGGGUAGCCCAGUGCUGAAGUUAACGUAAUAAGUACUCCGCCUGAGUAGUACGUGCGCAAGCAUGAAACUCAAAGGAAUUGACGGGACCCCGCACAAGCGGUGGAUCAUGUUGUUUAAUUCGAGGAUACGCGAAGAACCUUACCAGGUCUUGACAUACCAUGCAAAGCUAUAGAGAUAUAGUGGAGGUUAACAUGGAUACAGGUGGUGCAUGGUUGUCGUCAGCUCGUGUCGUGAGAUGUUGGGUUAAGUCCCGCAACGAGCGCAACCCUUAUUGCUAGUUGCCAUCAUUAAGUUGGGGACUCUAGCGAGACUGCCAGUGACAAACUGGAGGAAGGUGGGGAUGACGUCAAAUCAUCAUGCCCCUUAUGACCUGGGCUACAAACGUGAUACAAUGGCUGUAACAAAGAGCAGCAAGAGCGCGAGCUUAAGCAAAACUCAGAAAAGCAGUCCCAGUUCGGAUUAGAGUCUGCAACUCGACUCUAUGAAGUCGGAAUCGCUAGUAAUCGUAGAUCAGAAUGCUACGGUGAAUACGUUCUCGGGGUUUGUACACACCGCCCGUCAAACCAAGAAAGUUGGUAAUACCCAAAGCCGGUGGCCUAACCUAUUAGGGGGGAGCCGUUUAAGGUAGGACUGAUGAUCGGGGUUAAGUCGUAACAAGGUAACCGUA